AUGGUCGGUGUGCUUCUUUUUGCAUAUAUCUCAGUGAAUCUAUUCCUUAAAUGUCAAGGUCAAACGAUUCAUCAAGCUAAGAUUUUCUGUGAAAAUAGAGAAGUACCAGAAGGUGGAAGACUGGAGGUUACUUGCAGCACAUUUGGCCUUACAGUAAAGGCAGUUUAUUUAUAUCUGUUUAAAAAUGGCAAAGCUAUUGAUUGGAAAAAACAGCUCAAUCCACAAGACACCACCUUUAAAAUGGAGAGAAUAGAUAUAAACCGUUCAGGCAACUACAGCUGUGGGUUUUCAGAAGAACAGUUGGAAAUAACCAAAGUGACAGGAUAUGGUCUUAAUAACAUCUUCAUAAAGGUGAUCGAAUCUUUUAUUUAUACACAGAUACAUUUGCUUAAGCCUGAGGUGCCAGUGGGAAGUGAUGCUGAGUUUAAAUGUUCAACAUCCAAUCCUUUACACAAAAACCAGUCUGAGAACAUGAUUUUGGUUUAUCUCAUCAAAAAUGGAAAGCCUGUUAAAGUUAAUAUUUGGGACACAGAGAAGAUGAUGACAACAUUCACCCUCAGAGAGGUCCGGACUGAAGAUGCUGGGACAUACAGUUGUGUUGUAUUGUUAAACAUACUCCCUUACCAUGGAAUGACACUUCAUCAAAAUAUUAAAGUCAAUCUUAAGAUUACUGCGACAUCUAAUAGCAGCAUUGACAAAAUCAUAAUUGUCAUAAUGUGGGCUAUCAUAGUGUUGCUCCUCAGUCUGUUUCUGGGAAUCUGGGCACUGAUCCGAAAACGAGGAUGCCUUGGAAUCCACAACGAAAGAUCCUCGAAAAACGAGACAGACCUCACAAGAACAGAAGUGUUCUAUGAAGAAAUUGACACACCUUACACAUCUGGUACUGGUGACAUACAACCUGUUGUCUGGACUGCCUCAGAGUGUGAUGAAAGUUCUUCUGAAAGUGAUGAAGAGUAUAAUAAAGUGGGAUGUGCAGUAUAGCACCUGCAAGCAUUAAAGUAUGAUUAAAUUAUACUGUUGCAACUUUGUGAUGUUAUCUAUGCUUUUGCUAUUUUACAACUGUUGCUUUUUGUGGUUUAUUUUAGCUUGUCCUUUUAAGUUUCCGUUUACUAUUAUCUGUUUCUUGUCACUAUUGUUGAUUUUUUAUUACACUGACCAACUGACUGUUGACUAUCACUUUAGUCACUGUGCACAUUUUUUUUCAUGUAAACAUUACUGUAAAUUAUCUUUCAAGACUAGAAAUUAAAUCUCAGAAUCCAUAGCAAAAUACAAUACACAUAUUGUUAAUGUAACAUUAAAUUUUAGAAUACAAACUGAUGUUGGUUUUAUUUUAUUUAUUUUGUUUAUUUAAUUUUUUCUUUAAUCUGCAGUGUGUUAAUGUUUUCACAAAUGUACUGAAGAAUAUCUAACAAUAAAACGCUUGGAUUUUACA
Cyprinus carpio (common carp) is the source of this 1432-nucleotide long non-coding RNA. The record is from Ensembl. NCBI's taxonomy places the organism in Eukaryota, Metazoa, Chordata, Actinopteri, Cypriniformes, Cyprinidae.